Molecule: ribosomal RNA, 497 nt
Filed under: uncultured bacterium
Lineage: Bacteria
Description: partial 16S ribosomal RNA
Rfam family: Bacterial small subunit ribosomal RNA
Source: RNAcentral
ACUCAAAGGAAUUGACGGGGGCCCGCACAAGCGGCGGAGCAUGUGGCUUAAUUCGAUGCAACGCGAAGAACCUUACCUGGGCUUGAAAUGCAGGGAAAUCUGGCAGAAACGCCAGGUCCGCAAGGGCCCUGCACAGGUGGUGCAUGGCUGUCGUCAGCUCGUGUCGUGAGAUGUUGGGUUAAGUCCCGCAACGAGCGCAACCCUCGUCCUGUGUUGCCAGCACGUAAUGGUGGGGACUCACGGGAGACUGCCGGGGUCAACUCGGAGGAAGGUGGGGAUGAGGUCAAGUCAUCAUGCCCCUUAUGUCCAGGGCUGCACACAUGCUACAAUGGCCGGUACAAAGGGCUGCGAAGCCGCAAGGUGGAGCGAAUCCCAAAAAGCCGGUCUCAGUUCGGAUCGGGGUCUGCAACUCGACCCCGUGAAGUCGGAGUCGCUAGUAAUCGCAGAUCAGCAACGCUGCGGUGAAUACGUUCCCGGGCCUUGUACACACCGCCCGU